RNAcentral lists this unclassified non-coding RNA (479 nucleotides) under Hevea brasiliensis (rubber tree). Lineage: Eukaryota; Viridiplantae; Streptophyta; Magnoliopsida; Malpighiales; Euphorbiaceae. The record is from RNAcentral.
GAAGGAAACCACUUCCAUGGCUGCAAAUUUGUUGUUUUCGUGCAAUUCUAACUUAAUCCGUGCUUCAUAUUCCAUUACAUUUGUGGGUGUUAGACGGAGGAUACUGAAUCUUGAUCAACCCGGGAAGAACUUAUGGAAGCCGGAAAUUUUCUCGUACGUUUCUCGUUGCAGCAACUGAAGGUUCAGCAAACUCCAACAAAUACGACGGAACCAUCCCCUCUUGGGCUAGACCAGAUUCCGAUGAGCCCCCUCCUUGGGCUGAGGAGGACACCAAUGGCAGCGGCAGCGCCAACUCUGCCAAUCAGAAUGUCGAGAUUCCCUCCUUUGUUUACUUACUUGCCUCAGCAAUUACCGCAAUUGCUGCAAUAGGUUCUGUGUUUGAGUAUGUGAAUCAGAGGCCUGUUUUUGGAAUUUUGAAUUCCGAUAGCAUCUUCUAUGCUCCAUUGCUCGGAUUCUUUGCGUUUACUGGCAUCCCAACG